RNAcentral lists this ribosomal RNA (426 nucleotides) under uncultured bacterium. RNAcentral describes it as "bacterial SSU rRNA". It matches the Rfam family "Bacterial small subunit ribosomal RNA", at positions 356 to 774 of the family's 1533-position model. The record is from RNAcentral.
GGGGAAUUUUGGACAAUGGGCGCAAGCCUGAUCCAGCCAUGCCGCGUGCAGGAUGAAGGCCUUCGGGUUGUAAACUGCUUUUGUACGGAACGAAAAGGUGCCUUCUAAUAAAGGGCGCUCAUGACGGUACCGUAAGAAUAAGCACCGGCUAACUACGUGCCAGCAGCCGCGGUAAUACGUAGGGGGCAAGCGUUGUCCGGAUUUACUGGGUGUAAAGGGCGCGCAGGCGGGAUAAAAAGUCAGUGGUGAAAUCCUACAGCUUAACUGUAGAACUGCCUUUGAUACUUUUAUUCUUGAGUUCGGGAGAGAGAGACGGAAUUCCAGGUGUAGUGGUGAAAUACGUAGAUAUCUGGAAGAACACCAGUUGCGAAGGCGGUCUCUUGGUACGACACUGACGCUGAGGCGCGAAAGCGUGGGGAGCAAACA